Molecule: ribosomal RNA, 453 nt
Filed under: uncultured Porphyromonadaceae bacterium
Lineage: Bacteria; Pseudomonadati; Bacteroidota; Bacteroidia; Bacteroidales; Porphyromonadaceae
Description: partial 16S ribosomal RNA
Rfam family: Bacterial small subunit ribosomal RNA
Source: RNAcentral
ACGGGAGGCAGCAGUGAGGAAUAUUGGUCAAUGGGCGGAAGCCUGAACCAGCCAAGUCGCGUGAAGGAUGAAGGUAUUAUGUAUUGUAAACUUCUUUAGCAGUGGAGUAAUAAGGAGCUCGUGAGCUCUGAUGCGAGUACACUGAAAAUAAGGAUCGGCUAACUCCGUGCCAGCAGCCGCGGUAAUACGGAGGAUCCGAGCGUUAUCCGGAUUUAUUGGGUUUAAAGGGUGCGCAGGCGGCCUUGUAAGUCAGCGGUUAAAUCGUGGAGCUCAACUCCAUCCCGCCGUUGAUACUGCAGGGCUUGAUUGCGGUUGAGGUUGGCGGAAUUCGUCGUGUAGCGGUGAAAUGCAUAGAUAUGACGAAGAACACCGAUUGCGUAGGCAGCUGACCAAGCCGUAAAUGACGCUCAUGCACGAAAGUGCGGGGAUCGAACAGGAUUAGAUACCCUGGUA